GAGGUUCGAAGGCGAUCAGAUACCGCCCUAGUUCUAACCAUAAACGAUGCCAGCCAGCGAUCCGGCUGCGUUCCUCAAAUGACGCGCCGGGCAGCUUCCGGGAAACCAAAGCUUUUGGGCUCCGGGGGAAGUAUGGUUGCAAAGCUGAAACUUAAAGGAAUUGACGGAGGGCUACCACCAGUGGUGGAUCUUGCGGUUCAAUUUGACUCAACGCAGCGCACCUUACCAGGUCAGGACACAGGAAGGAUUGACAGAUUAAGAGCUCUUUCUUGAUUUUGUGGGUAGUGGUGCAUGGCCGCUCUUGGUUCGUGCAGUGAUUUGUCUGGUUAAUUCUGAUAACGGACGAGGCUCUAGCCUGCUAAAUAGACGCUCGGAUCAUUCCUCGUCCGGCGUUUCUUCUUAGAGGGACUGGCGGCGUUUAGCCGUACGAGGUUGAGCAAUAGCAGGUCUGUAAUGCCCUUAGAUGUCCUGGGCCACACGCGUGAUACAUUGAAAGAACCAGCGUGUGUUUACUUGUCCGUCGGGACUGGGUAACCCGUUGAACUUCUUUCGUGCUGGGGAUUGGGGUUUUUGCAAUUGUCCCCCAUGAACGAGGAACCUCUAGUAAGCGCGAGUCAUCAUCUCGCGUUGAUUAGGUCCCUGGCCCUUGUCCACACCGCCCGUCACUAUUACCGAUUGAAUGUCUUAGUGAGGACUUCGGAUUGGCUGUCAUCUUGGCUCCAGGGUCGAGGCGACGCGUCGAAAAGAUGUCCGAACUUGGGCAUUUAGAGGAAAUA
RNAcentral lists this ribosomal RNA (776 nucleotides) under Helophora insignis. RNAcentral's name for it is "bacterial SSU rRNA". It matches the Rfam family "Eukaryotic small subunit ribosomal RNA", at positions 993 to 1784 of the family's 1831-position model. The record is from RNAcentral. Lineage: Eukaryota; Metazoa; Arthropoda; Arachnida; Araneae; Linyphiidae.